This 502-nucleotide ribosomal RNA is filed under the name uncultured bacterium. RNAcentral's name for it is "bacterial SSU rRNA". It matches the Rfam family "Bacterial small subunit ribosomal RNA", at positions 355 to 871 of the family's 1533-position model. The record is from RNAcentral.
UUAGGAAUCUUGCGCAAUGGGCGAAAGCCUGACGCAGCAACGCCGCGUGUGGGAUGAAGGCUUUCGGGUUGUAAACCACUUUCAGCAGGAACGAAAUUGACGGUACCUGCAGAAGAAGCUCCGGCCAACUACGUGCCAGCAGCCGCGGUAAUACGUAGGGAGCAAGCGUUGUCCGGAUUUAUUGGGCGUAAAGAGCUCGUAGGCGGUUAAGUAAGUCAGGUGUGAAACCUCCAGGCUCAACCUGGAGACGCCACUUGAUACUGCUUUGACUUGAGUUCGGUAGGGGUAAGCGGAAUUCCUGGUGUAGCGGUGAAAUGCGCAGAUAUCAGGAGGAACACCGACGGCGAAGGCAGCUUACUGGGCCGAUACUGACGCUGAGGAGCGAAAGCGUGGGGAGCGAACAGGAUUAGAUACCCUGGUAGUCCACGCCGUAAACGUUGGGCACUAGGUGUGGGAGGUAAUCAACGCCUUCCGUGCCGUAGCUAACGCAUUAAGUGCCCCG